RNAcentral lists this long non-coding RNA (414 nucleotides) under Serinus canaria (Common canary). RNAcentral's name for it is "lncRNA (ENSSCAG00000007214.1)". Lineage: Eukaryota; Metazoa; Chordata; Aves; Passeriformes; Fringillidae. The record is from RNAcentral.
GUUAUCUCUUUAGCCAUUCCUGCAGACCUGCAGGCACUGUGUUUCUUAGGUGUGCACUGCCAAAGGGGAAUGUUUUUCUAUUCAGUUCUGUCUUGCAGCUGCUGAAGCGAAACCUUCCUCUCCUGUUUUUUUAGGGAAAAAAAAUGCAAAAAUGAGGAAAGCCUGCUUUAGUUUUGGGAGACAGAAGGUAUCAGAACUACUGUUCAUCCUCAGAGAGGUUCCCAGGAUGUAGGAAAUCAAGUGCUGUGAGUGUCAUGCAGCUGACAGGUCUACUGGCGAAGCUGAAGGUCACAGCCAGGGCAGAAAUUCUUUAAACAAAACAGAGUCAAAUUAUCAGGGAAGUUUGGAGCUGUUUGCAAGAUCUGCUGGGUUGGUUGCUCACCCUGUUAAAAGAAGCCACCAUCUGGGACAGCA